This is a long non-coding RNA of Gallus gallus (chicken), 1080 nucleotides long. The record is from Ensembl. Lineage: Eukaryota; Metazoa; Chordata; Aves; Galliformes; Phasianidae.
CGGGGGCCCCGCGGCUCCGUGCUGAGGGUCGGCGCCCGUGCAGCGCGAGCAGCGCGGCCGGGGCCUGCAGAAAGUUUCCGCGGCGGCAGGUGGACGGCAGGCUGGGACCUGUUGCAAUUCCUGAUCGUUCUGGCCGCGUUUCAUCAAGCAGUUGUGACUUGAGAACUGUCCCGGCCCUCGCGCCCCAUAACCACGCGGUUUCCUUGGCCUCCUUUGGCGCUUACGUCCCUUCUCGUCCCCCAGCAAGCUUCCUGCACGGCGAAACCGAGCCGCGUUUUGCGCCCCGUCGGGCGGCGGAAGGGUUAAGUCCCGCUGCGCUGAGCGUUUCGGCGCUCGUUGGCUGCCGGCCCAGCGCUCUCGGUGCCGUAUUGCAUCAGAGCGGGCAGGAGCACCUCGCUGCGCUCCCCCUCUGCGCGCUGUACUUGGAGCGCUUCGCCGUUUCCCACGGCAUGUUAAUUUUUUCCCUCCGUGGUCUCCAGGAUUCCUUCUCACGGGUUUCUUGGAGGAUGUUCUGCCCCGCUCCUCCCACCCAGGUUGAGGGCAGGGCGCCGCUCCGCUCUGCCCUACGCCGGGCGCCUGGAGCCCAUCUUUGCACCUCCGGCACACGGCGAGCCCUCGGUGCCGAAACGCUCCCCGCUCGGUGUCGAAACGUCGCCGCAGAGCAGUCCCGUGCGUUGCCCAGCGAGGUUCCCAUAAGAACGCCACAAAAGACACUGAAGGAAAGCACUGUGGGCAUCACAUUCACAUCUGAUUUAACCAGCGACUCUCCCCAUCCUUCAAUCCUGAGCUGAAUACAAAAAGGACAACAGCUUUCCAGGUAGAGCGAUGUGAUAAAACAGGUGAUUUCUAAAAGCAAGUAAAGAACCCUAAAUUGUUGCCGCUCACCUUGGUAUUCAAAACUCAAAACCUCCACUCAAGAUCUCCUAAGAUGCAAAGUGAUCUUUACCACAGUUGUACAAGACAGAUCCCUGGCUGUUCCUGUGGCACCGUACAUCCUGUGCCAUCUCAGGAGCUGGCUUGGGGCAAUCCGAACUGAUCAGAACGAUGCUGCGAAGAAGGGUGGACAAGCUGCAGUGAACG